This 337-nucleotide ribosomal RNA is filed under the name Streptococcus sp. oral taxon 058. RNAcentral describes it as "bacterial SSU rRNA". It matches the Rfam family "Bacterial small subunit ribosomal RNA", at positions 28 to 355 of the family's 1533-position model. The record is from RNAcentral. Lineage: Bacteria; Bacillati; Bacillota; Bacilli; Lactobacillales; Streptococcaceae.
GACGAACGCUGCGGCGUGCCUAAUACAUGCAAGUAGAACGCUGAAGGAGGAGCUUGCUUCUCUGGAUGAGUUGCGAACGGGUGAGUAACGCGUAGGUAACCUGCCUGGUAGCGGGGGAUAACUAUUGGAAACGAUAGCUAAUACCGCAUAAAAUUGAUUAUUGCAUGAUAGUCAAUUAAAAGGUGCAAUUGCAUCACUACCAGAUGGACCUGCGUUGUAUUAGCUAGUUGGUGAGGUAACGGCUCACCAAGGCAACGAUACAUAGCCGACCUGAGAGGGUGAUCGGGCCACACUGGGACUGAGACACGGGCCCAGACUCCUACGGGGAGGCAGCAGU